RNAcentral lists this ribosomal RNA (253 nucleotides) under uncultured bacterium. Its description in RNAcentral is "partial 16S ribosomal RNA". It matches the Rfam family "Bacterial small subunit ribosomal RNA", at positions 524 to 776 of the family's 1533-position model. The record is from RNAcentral.
UACGUAUGGUGCAAGCGUUAUCCGGAUUUACUGGGUGUAAAGGGAGCGCAGGCGGCACGGCAAGCCUGAUGUGAAAGCCCGCGGCCCAACCGCGGGACUGCAUUGGGAACUACCGGGCUGGAGUGCCGGAGAGGUAGGCGGAAUUCCUAGUGUAGCGGUGAAAUGCGUAGAUAUUAGGAGGAACACCAGUGGCGAAGGCGGCCUACUGGACGGUGACUGACGCUGAGGCUCGAAAGCGUGGGGAGCAUACAGG